This 301-nucleotide ribosomal RNA is filed under the name uncultured soil bacterium. Its description in RNAcentral is "bacterial SSU rRNA". It matches the Rfam family "Bacterial small subunit ribosomal RNA", at positions 26 to 347 of the family's 1533-position model. The record is from RNAcentral.
AGAACGAACGCUGGCGGCAUGCCUAAUACAUGCAAGUCGAACGAACUCUUCGGAGUUAGUGGCGCACGGGUGCGUAACGCGUGGGAAUCUGCCCUUGGGGUUCGGAAUAACAGUUGGAAACGACUGCUAAUACCGGAUGAUGACGAAAGUCCAAAGAUUUAUCGCCCAGGGAUGACGCCCGGCGUAGGAUUAGCUAGUUGGUGAGGUAAAGGCUCAACAAGGCGACGAUCCUUAGCUGGUCUGAGAGGAUGAUCGACGCCACACGUGGGACUGAGACACGGCCCAGACCUCCGUACGGGAG